CUUAGAUAUGUGAGAUAUCUUGAAACAUAGAAUCGCUCUUGGAUACAUAGUGAUAUGAUGAACCAGUUAAUCUAACCGAGCUGUGUCAUAAUGUGCAGUGAGGCGAUGCUUCAACUGAAGAGAACGCCUCGGGUGCAGAGUGACAUUACCUGCUCCUUUAAGUGAAGAAUGUAGCUGUAGAUGAUAGCGACAUAUAAUAGAGAGUGGGUGCAGGAGGGAGUAGUGGAUUUGUAUGGUGGAUACCACGUAUGUGGUAUGCACCUACUGUUCAGGAGAAUCCACACCCUCCCAGAUAACAUUAUGGGUCUGAAUAUGUGAGUUCCAUUUAUGUGCUGGCACCAUGAUCUGCAGCCAUUACUGACCAUCUUCAGAGGGAACAUCAUUA
Cryptotermes secundus is the source of this 385-nucleotide long non-coding RNA. RefSeq lists it as uncharacterized. NCBI's taxonomy places the organism in Eukaryota, Metazoa, Arthropoda, Insecta, Blattodea, Kalotermitidae. The transcript is spliced from 3 exons. The record is from RefSeq and is a predicted model, not a curated record.